AGAUGCGAUCAUACCCGCACUAAAGCACUCGAUCUCAUCAGAACUCUGAAGUUAAGCGUGCUUAGGCGAGAGUAGCACUAGGAUGGAUUACCUCCGUCACGUCCUCGUGUUGUAUUCC
This is a non-coding RNA of Triticum aestivum (bread wheat), 118 nucleotides long. The record is from Rfam. Lineage: Eukaryota; Viridiplantae; Streptophyta; Magnoliopsida; Poales; Poaceae.